CAGAUUGUAGCUUAUAUAAAGUAUAUUUUUUACGUUAAUAUGAAAAUUUUAGUUGUUCUAUCUGA
RNAcentral lists this transfer RNA (65 nucleotides) under Cofana yasumatsui. RNAcentral describes it as "tRNA-Val". The record is from RNAcentral. Lineage: Eukaryota; Metazoa; Arthropoda; Insecta; Hemiptera; Cicadellidae.